UUGUUAAGAAAUAAUAAUUUAUUGAUUGAUAAAAUUUUAAUGUACAUCUAGAGUGUUUAUACAAAAGCAUAUGUUACACAAAAAAAUUAUCCUACUGUCAUUCCUCAAAAUUGGCUGCCAUGUAGCAUCACAAAACAUCCUGCACCUGCAAAACAAAUGUUACAAAAUAGAAACAUAACCAAAUAGGUACAAAUUGACAAUACAAUUAGCCAUAGACUCGCAAUCAAUUUUAACAAUGAAUCUAAAUCCUUUCUAUGUCGUCCUACAUUAGUCUUAAUACCAAAAUAUAUGAAAAUUAUUACACUACGUGCCAAAUUGAGCAGUUUAAAUAAGUUGUUGGACCAAAAGGGAGGUGGCUUAUAAUCAAACCAUUUGGUACACCACGAUGUUUCAAUAAUUUCAUAAAUAACCUACAGGAUUUGAAAAAAAAUAGAAAUCAGUAGAUGUUCAACUAUGGAAAAGGACCAAAGCAUCAGAACAUUCAUGGUAGGCACAUUCUUAAAUGUCAUCAUGUUCUCAAGUGAAGAGGUCAAUCUAGACAUAAUUGUAAACAAAAAAUGAUGACCAAUAUAAAAACAUAAAAAUUCACUCAAAAUACUAAAUAAAUUAAACACACAAACUAAACAUAAAAAUUAAACACACAAAUUAAACAUAAAAAUUCACUCAAAAAUCAUGUACCAGAUGACUGGUGGUUGUCAAAACAACGAGAAAAAUAUACCCGAGAACAAUAAAGGAUUGCAACAGAAGAAUUGGACCACAUAUCAAAUUUUUCAUCAAAUAUACAGCCCAGUUGUAGAGAUAUCUACUAAUAGAAUAUUAAUUUGAUUAAAUAUUGGAACUUUAAAAGCAAUAAAAACCAGGGAGAAUAAUGGGAAAAUGACCGAUUUCUCAUAGCGGUCACCCUCAGAGGCGGUGUAGAUCUCAGAGGUGCAGGGCGAUAUGUGCUCACUGUUCCAGUAUGCUUCUUGCUCAUGUGUAGCAUUAUACAUAAUCAAACUGCUCCGACAUGCAAGAAAAUGCAAAGGAUGUCACCAAUGUAUUUAGGAUAAACACAAGGCAGAGGAAAACAAAAUAUAUUAUUAUCACAAUCAAACCUACCUGCAGAAAGCUCCUUGCUCAUAGUGUUCUGCACAAUAGAAGGACAAUUCAGAUUUUUUUAC
RNAcentral lists this long non-coding RNA (1160 nucleotides) under Malus domestica (apple). Its description in RNAcentral is "long non-coding RNA (MDOM_LNC016902)". The record is from RNAcentral. Lineage: Eukaryota; Viridiplantae; Streptophyta; Magnoliopsida; Rosales; Rosaceae.